Anopheles funestus (African malaria mosquito) is the source of this 816-nucleotide long non-coding RNA. RefSeq lists it as uncharacterized. The record is from RefSeq and is a predicted model, not a curated record. NCBI's taxonomy places the organism in Eukaryota, Metazoa, Arthropoda, Insecta, Diptera, Culicidae. The transcript is spliced from 4 exons.
GAUUUCAGUCGAAGUUGGUUGAAAAUAGAAGAAUUCGGUUGAAGUUGAAGAUUUCAGUAGAAGUUGGUUGAAAAUAGAAGAUUUCGGUUGAAGUUGAUGAUUUCAGUCGAAGUUGGUUGAAAAUAGAAGAUUUCGGUUGAAGUUGAAGAUUUUAGUCGAAGUUGGUUGAAAAUAGAAGAUUUCGGUUGAAGUUGAUGAUUUCAGUCGAAGUUGGUUGGAAAUAGAAGAUUUCGGUUGAAGUUGGAGAUUUUAGUCGAAGUUGGUUGAAAAUAGAAGAUUUCGGUUGAAGUUGAUGAUUUCAGUCGAAGUUGGUUGGAAAUAGAAGAUUUCGGUUGAAGUUGAUGAUUUCAGUCGAAGUUGGUUGGAAAUAGAAGAUUUCGGUUGAAGUUGAUGAUUUCAGUCGAAGUUGGUUGGAAAUAGAAGAUUUCUGUUGAAGUUGGAGAUUUUAGUCAAAGUUGGUUGGAAAUAGAAGAUUUCGGUUGAAGUUGAUGAUUUCAGUCGAAGUUGGUUGAAAAUAGAAGAUUUUGGUUGAAGUUGAUGAUUUCGGUCGAAGUUGGUUGGAAAUAGAAGAUUUCGGUUGAAGUUGAAGAUUUCAGUCGAAGUUGGUUGGAAAUAGAAGAUUUCGGUUGAAGUUGAUGAUUUUAGUCGAAGUUGGUUGGAAACAACAGAUUUCAGUCGAAGUUGGUUGGAAAUAGAAGAUUUCGGUUGAGGUUGAUGAUUUCAGUCGAAGUUGGUUGGAAAUAGAAGAUUUCGGUUGAAGUUGAUGAUUUCAGUCGAAGUUGGUUGGAAAUAGAAAAUUUCGGUCGAGGUUGAUGA